RNAcentral lists this unclassified non-coding RNA (194 nucleotides) under uncultured Mucoromycotina. RNAcentral's name for it is "sequence contains ITS1". Lineage: Eukaryota; Fungi. The record is from RNAcentral.
AAGUAAAUGAUUUGGAUUCUUUUGGAUUCAAAAAUCUAACUUUGUGGUAAUAUUGAAAAAUUUGAUUUGAGUUUAAAGAUGAUGUUUUCUAGAAAUGGAUAAUAUCGACUCAAGUAUUUUUUAUCAACCUCUUUUAUUAUUUGACUGAAUUAUCAAGUAUAUUGAUCAUAUGAUUAAUAAAAAAAGUUUAUAAA